This 505-nucleotide ribosomal RNA is filed under the name uncultured bacterium. RNAcentral's name for it is "partial 16S ribosomal RNA". It matches the Rfam family "Bacterial small subunit ribosomal RNA", at positions 28 to 507 of the family's 1533-position model. The record is from RNAcentral.
GACGAACGCUGGCGGCGUGCCUAAUACAUGCAAGUAGAACGCACAGUUUAUACCGUAGCUUGCUACACCAUAGACUGUGAGUUGCGAACGGGUGAUUAACGCGUAGGUAACCUGCCUGGUAGCGCGGGAUAACUAUUGGAAACGAUAGCUAAUACCGCAUAAUAUUAAUUAUUGCAUGAUAAUUAAUUGAAAGGUGCAAUUGCACCACUACCAGAUGGACCUGGGUUGUAUUAGCUAGUAGGUGAGGUAACGGCUCACCUAGGCGACGAUACAUAGCCGACCUGGGAGGGUGAUCGGCCACACUGGGACUGAGACACGGCCCAGAAUCCUACGGGAGGCAGCAGUAGGGAAUCUUCGGCAAUGGACGAAAGUCUGACCGAGCAACGCCGCGUGAGUGAAGAAGGUUUUCGGAUCGUAAAGCUCUGUUGUAAGAGAAGAACGGGUGUGAGAGUGGAAAGUUCACACUGUGACGGUAUCUUACCAGAAAGGGACGGCUAACUACGUG